UACGUAGGGGGCGAGCGUUGUCCGGAAUUACUGGGCGUAAAGGGUGCGUAGGCGGCUUGGCAAGUCGGAUGUGAAAUACUCUUGCUUAACGAGAGGGGUGCAUACGAAACUGUCGAGCUUGAGUGUAGGAGAGGGAAGCGGAAUUCCUAGUGUAGCGGUGAAAUGCAUAGAUAUUAGGAGGAACACCAGUGGCGAAGGCGGCUUUCUGGACUACAACUGACGCUGAGGCACGAAAGCGUGGGGAGCAAAC
RNAcentral lists this ribosomal RNA (250 nucleotides) under uncultured bacterium. RNAcentral describes it as "partial 16S ribosomal RNA". It matches the Rfam family "Bacterial small subunit ribosomal RNA", at positions 524 to 773 of the family's 1533-position model. The record is from RNAcentral.